GGCUGGUCCAAGUGCAGUGGUGUUUACAACUAAUUGAUCACAACCAGUUACAGAUUCCUUUGUUCCUUCUCCAUUCCUACUGCUUCACUUGACUAGCCUUAA
Prolemur simus (greater bamboo lemur) is the source of this 102-nucleotide unclassified non-coding RNA. It matches the Rfam family "Y RNA". Rfam says of the family: Y RNAs are components of the Ro ribonucleoprotein particle (Ro RNP), in association with Ro60 and La proteins. The Y RNAs and Ro60 and La proteins are well conserved, but the function of the Ro RNP is not known. Lineage: Eukaryota; Metazoa; Chordata; Mammalia; Primates; Lemuridae. The record is from Ensembl.